CAUGCCGUAAACGAUGAUUACUAGGUGUGGGGGGUCUGACCCCUUCCGUGCCGGAGUUAACACAAUAAGUAAUCCACCUGGGGAGUACGGCCGCAAGGUUGAAACUCAAAGGAAUUGACGGGGGCCCGCACAAGCAGUGGAGUAUGUGGUUUAAUUCGAAGCAACGCGAAGAACCUUACCAGGUCUUGACAUCCAACUAACGAGGCAGAGAUGCGUCAGGUGCCCUUCGGGGAAAGUUGAGACAGGUGG
This 249-nucleotide ribosomal RNA is filed under the name uncultured bacterium. RNAcentral describes it as "partial 16S ribosomal RNA". It matches the Rfam family "Bacterial small subunit ribosomal RNA", at positions 796 to 1041 of the family's 1533-position model. The record is from RNAcentral.